CGGACGGGUGAGUAMCGCGUGAGAAUCUACCCUUAGGAGGGGAAUAACAGCUGGAAACGGCUGCUAAGACCCCAUAUGCCGAGAGGUGAAAAAGAUUUCUGCCUAAGGAAGAGCUCGCGGCUGAUUAGCUAGUUGGUAGGAUAAAAGACUACCAAGGCAACGAUCAGUAGCUGGUUUGAGAGGACGAUCAGCCACACUGGGACUGAGACACGGCCCAGACUCCUACGGGAGGCAGCAGUGGGGAAUCUUCUGCAAUGGGCGAAAGCCUGACWGAGCAAUACCGCGUGAGGGAUAAAAGCCUGAGGGUCGUAAACCUCUUUUUUCAGGGAAGAAAUUUGACGGUACCUGAAGAAUAAGCAUCGGCUAACUCCGUGCCAGCAGCCGCGGUAAUACGGAGGAUGCAAGCGUUAUCCGGAAUCACUGGGCGUAAAGCGUCUGUAGGUGGUUUUUCAAGUCUGCUGUUAAAGACUGAGGCUUAACCUCASAAAAGCAGUGGAAACUGACAAGCUAGAGCAUGGUAGGGGUAAAGGGAAUUCCCAGUGUAGCGGUGAAAUGCGUAGAUAUUGGGAAGAACACCUGUGGCGAAAGCGCUUUACUGGACCAUUGCUGACACUGAGAGACGAAAGCUAGGGYAGCAAAUGGGAUUAGAUACCCCAGUAGUCA
Molecule: ribosomal RNA, 663 nt
Filed under: uncultured cyanobacterium
Lineage: Bacteria; Bacillati; Cyanobacteriota
Description: bacterial SSU rRNA
Rfam family: Bacterial small subunit ribosomal RNA
Source: RNAcentral